UGACGGCAACGCCAUUUAGUGUCCCUCACCCGGCACCCAGCACCCAGCAUUGGGUAGCCAGCACCCUGCAUUCGGCGCCCAGCUCAGCCCGCAGAGCACUCGGGGGAGCCAAUAAGGAGCUCUCUCUCCCACGGAAACUUGCACUGUGCCAAAGUUGAUAGGAGGUCGGAAACCGGUUGUUUCGUGCUUUGGGCGGAAACCCCAGACACCUGGCUUCUCUGGGUCUGAUGAGGGGCGUGGGCUUGCCCACGAGGAGACGUAGAUAGCCUUGAACAUCUGGCCCCUGCCAAGUCGCAGCGUAGCCCUGUUGCUCCGGCGGUGCGAUGACCCUUCAGAGACCCUCUGCAGCACGUUUAUUUGGGGGACCGCCAAAUAUGCGAAACAUCGUGAUUCACCCCAUUCUGCAUUAAGUAUAGAUUCAGGACAGCCAUCCUUCGGAGGUCGCACCAAGACCUUCCUUCUGCAGCCUUUCCUGACAAGUCCAGUCUCUUCGUUCACUUUUUCAUUCAAAAAUCUGGGUACACUGGAAAGAAGACAGCUUCGGUCCCGCCGUCAUGGAGUCCAGGGCGUCACCGCUCGCCACCAUGCAAUCGAGCCAAAACUUUGCAUCGGCACGGGAGACACAGUAAAACUCCCAGGUCCCUCUAGUGGAGAUUCUGCCCUAACCACCAAACCUCCCCGCCAAAUUCUUCUGCACUCAUCAGUGUGCGUGAGCAUGUGCCCAAGCAUACCGAUAGGUACGAACUUCUGCCCUCAAAUUCCAGGAGUGGUGUAUUAGUCAGAGAAACAGAAACAGUAGGAGACAGAGAUAGACAGACAUAUGGACGGAGAGAUGACUGAUAGGUAGGUAGGGUUUGUGGUAGGUGGAUGGAUGGAUGGAUGGACGGACGGACGGACGGACGGACGGACAGGCAGGUUAUGGAGGAUGCCAUUUUUGCCAGCUGGAGCCCCAGGAGAGCUGAUGGUAUAGUUGCGUCUCCAGAGCAGAAGGCUGAUGUCCCAGCUCAAAAACAGGCAGAAAGGUAAAGCUCCCUCCCUGCCUCUGUCCUCUUCACCCCUGGGUGACUUGAGGAGCCCCACCCACCUGGGGAGGGCCAUGUGUUUCGCUCAGUCUACAGAUUCAAAUGUGAACCUAAUCCGCGGAACUACCCUCCCAGACACACCCCCGUGAACGUCUGACCGGUCCGGUGACCGUGGCGCGCAGCCGAGGUGACACAGAAUUAACC
Long non-coding RNA from Pteropus alecto (black flying fox), 1226 nucleotides. RefSeq lists it as uncharacterized. The transcript is spliced from 3 exons. The record is from RefSeq and is a predicted model, not a curated record. Lineage: Eukaryota; Metazoa; Chordata; Mammalia; Chiroptera; Pteropodidae.